GUGAGGAAUAUUGGUCAAUGGACGAGAGUCUGAACCAGCCAAGUAGCGUGAAGGAUGACUGCCCUAUGGGUUGUAAACUUCUUUUAUAAGGGAAUAAAGUGAGGGACGUGUCCCUUUUUGUAUGUACCUUAUGAAUAAGGAUCGGCUAACUCCGUGCCAGCAGCCGCGGUAAUACGGAGGAUCCAAGCGUUAUCCGGAUUUAUUGGGUUUAAAGGGAGCGUAGGUUGACAUAUAAGUCAGCAGUGAAAGUUUACGGCUCAACCGUGAAAUUGCAGUUGAUACUGUAUGUCUUGAGUGUACAAGAGGUGGGCGGAAUUCGUGGUGUAGCGGUGAAAUGCUUAGAUAUCACGAAGAACUCCAAUUGCGAAGGCAGCUCACUGGGGUACAACUGACACUGAGGCUCGAAAGUGUGGGUAUCAAACAGGAUUAGAUACCCUAGUAGUCC
RNAcentral lists this ribosomal RNA (445 nucleotides) under uncultured bacterium. RNAcentral describes it as "partial 16S ribosomal RNA". It matches the Rfam family "Bacterial small subunit ribosomal RNA", at positions 354 to 796 of the family's 1533-position model. The record is from RNAcentral.